Molecule: non-coding RNA, 71 nt
Organism: Phrynosoma platyrhinos (Desert horned lizard)
Lineage: Eukaryota; Metazoa; Chordata; Lepidosauria; Squamata; Phrynosomatidae
Source: the annotation of a GenBank genome assembly
GCUGGUGUGGUGCAGUGGUGUGACUCUUGGACUGUGACUCUGGAGACCAGGGUUCGAUUCCCAGCUCAGCC